AUGAACGCUGGCGGCGUGCCUAAUACAUGCAAGUCGAGCGAACAGAUGAGGAGCUUGCUCCUCUGACGUUAGCGGCGGACGGGUGAGUAACACGUGGAUAACCUACCUAUAAGACUGGGAUAACUACGGGAAACCGGAGCUAAUACCGGAUAAUAUAUUGAACCGCAUGGUUCAAUAGUGAAAGACGGUUUUGCUGUCACUUAUAGAUGGAUCCGCGCCGCAUUAGCUAGUUGGUAAGGUAACGGCUUACCAAGGCGACGAUGCGUAGCCGACCUGAGAGGGUGAUCGGCCACACUGGAACUGAGACACGGUCCAGACUCCUACGGGAGGCAGCAGUAGGGAAUCUUCCGCAAUGGGCGAAAGCCUGACGGAGCAACGCCGCGUGAGUGAUGAAGGUCUUCGGAUCGUAAAACUCUGUUAUUAGGGAAGAACAAAUGUGUAAGUAACUAUGCACGUCUUGACGGUACCUAAUCAGAAAGCCACGGCUAACUACGUG
Molecule: ribosomal RNA, 496 nt
Filed under: uncultured bacterium
Lineage: Bacteria
Description: partial 16S ribosomal RNA
Rfam family: Bacterial small subunit ribosomal RNA
Source: RNAcentral